RNAcentral lists this ribosomal RNA (599 nucleotides) under uncultured bacterium. RNAcentral describes it as "bacterial SSU rRNA". It matches the Rfam family "Bacterial small subunit ribosomal RNA", at positions 882 to 1482 of the family's 1533-position model. The record is from RNAcentral.
ACGAUCGCAAGAUUAAAACUCAAAGGAAUUGACGGGGCCCCGCACAAGCAGCGGAGCAUGCGGCUUAAUUCGACGCAACGCGAAGAACCUUACCAAGGCUUGACAUAUACAGGAAUAUGGCAGAGAUGUCAUAGCGGUAAAACGUCUGUAUACAGGUGGUGCAUGGUUGUCGUCAGCUCGUGUCGUGAGAUGUUGGGUUAAGUCCCGCAACGAGCGCAACCCUCGUUCUGUGUUGCCAGCAUUCAGUUGGGGACUCACAGGAGACUGCCGGGGUUAACUCGGAGGAAGGUGGGGAUGACGUCAAAUCAUCAUGCCCCUUAUGUCUUGGGCUGCACGCAUGCUACAAUGGCUGGUACAAAGGGCUGCAAUACUGCAAAGUGGAGCGAAUCCCAAAAAGCCAGUCUCAGUUCGGAUUGGGGUCUGCAACUCGACCCCAUGAAGUCGGAGUUGCUAGUAAUCGUAGAUCAGCAACGCUACGGUGAAUACGUUCCCGGGGCUUGUACACACCGCCCGUCACAUCACGAAAGUCGGUAACACCCAAAGUCAGUGGCCCAACCGCAAGGAGGGAGCUGCCAAAGGUGGGAUCGGUGAUUGGGAUG